UAAGGCUUUUAUUUCCUCCGGGUUC
Molecule: non-coding RNA, 25 nt
Filed under: Rattus norvegicus (Norway rat)
Lineage: Eukaryota; Metazoa; Chordata; Mammalia; Rodentia; Muridae
Source: RNAcentral